AGGAUGAACGCUGGCGGCGUGCCUAACACAUGCAAGUCGAACGUCCUGUCUCGCAAGAGGCAGGGAGUGGCGGACGGGUGAGUACCACGUGGGUCAUCUACCGUGAGGUGAGGAAUACCGGCGAGAAAUCGCCGACAAGACCGCAUAGGCUCGAUGCAAGUCGAGCAAAGCUCUUUCGAGAGAGGGAGCGCCACACGAGGAGCCUGCGCCCGAUUAGCUAGCUGGUGGAGUAACGGUUCACCAGGGCGACGAUCGGUAGCUGGUCUGAGAGGACGAUCAGCCACACUGGGAUUGAGAACGGCCCAGACUCCUACGGGGGGCAGCAGUGAGGAAUUUUCGUCAAUGGGGGCAACCCUGAACGAGCAACGCCGCGUGCAGGAAGAAGGUUUUCGGAUCGUAAACUGCUUUUCUCGGGGAAGAGAAUGGACGGUACCCGAGGAAUCAGCCCCGGCUAACUACGUGCCAGCAGCCGCGGU
RNAcentral lists this ribosomal RNA (476 nucleotides) under uncultured bacterium. RNAcentral describes it as "SSU rRNA". It matches the Rfam family "Bacterial small subunit ribosomal RNA", at positions 26 to 521 of the family's 1533-position model. The record is from RNAcentral.